RNAcentral lists this long non-coding RNA (871 nucleotides) under Pan troglodytes (chimpanzee). RNAcentral describes it as "long non-coding RNA NONPTRT017208". Lineage: Eukaryota; Metazoa; Chordata; Mammalia; Primates; Hominidae. The record is from RNAcentral.
CAGGCUGUAAGUGUUUCAAUUCAUUUUUAUAACAAGCAUUCUUGACAGCACAGGUAAUUUAAUAGAAAUAAAAUAAAGUCAGAAGGUCUGUGUUCUAGGCAUGACUUACAAAGUAAGUGAAUAGGUGAAUUUUGGUAAAUCAUAAAAUAUUUAUUGGCAUUGGUAUCAACACCAACUAAUGACUGAAUUAAAAUAUGUGAGCUUACAUUUUAAAGUUGUGGAAAUAUAUGAAUUUAAACAAAUAAUCAGUUUUUGAGAAAUAACAAAAUAAUAACUUAUUAACGGUAAAAAUAAAACUGGAUUCUAAAUGCUUUUGACUUUUUGGCAAACAUUGUGAAUAUUAAAUAUAGAAAAUUCAUUCAAAUGAAUAUUUAUUCAUGAAUUUUGUUUAAUAAAUAUGUUGUAUUGCCUAUUCAUAGAAUCUUUGACACAAUUGAAUUGUGUAGGUUAUUCUUAAAGGUGUAGACCAUGUUGAAGAGUGAAUCAUUUUUUAUAAAAGUUCUUCUAAGGGUAUUAAUCUAAGAGCUUUACAUUUGUAGCAUCAGGGCAUAUGCAUAUGUUUCUCUAGUCCAUUUAGACUGCUAUAACAAAAUCUUAUCAACUUGGUAGACUGUAAACAAUAGAAAUUUACUUUUCACAAUUCUGAAGGCUAUGAAGUCCAAGAUCAAGGCACCUGCAGAUUUGAUGUCUGGUGAGGCUUGUUGUUUGGUUCACAGAUAGCACCUUCUUGCUGUGUCCUCGCAUGGUAGAAAGGGCAGGGCAACUCUCUGGGGCUUCUUUUAUAAGGACACUAAUCCCAUUCAUGAGGGCCCUGCUACCCUUGCCUUAUUAUCUCCCAAAGCCCCCAUCUCCUAAUACCAUCACAUUCGUG